UAGCCAUAUUUUUUUACCUUCGUUUUAAAAAGGUUGGCGACUCCUGUCAAGGCGGGUGGUGGGUGUACUAACACGCGAGGUUUGCAACGGGGUUCAGUUUAAACCACCGUGCGGCGCCAAGCGUGCCUAACCCUUAAAAUAAAAAAAAACCUCGCGUGAGAAUAUGAGCAUUUUCAAAAGUGCGUGACUUCAUGUGUUUUUAAAUUUUGAUGUCGGUCAUAACAUAACAUUAAACAACGUUCAUGUAAUAAUGAGUGAUAAUGAUUUCAUUGACAUUACAGUUUUAAUAUACUGAUAUCAAGAAUUUUUAGUGUUGAAGAGGAUUGUUCAGUUUUUAUGAUGAUAUUGUUCUGAUACCCUGUAUGAGGACACCAUUGGAAUGUCCUCCACUACGCAACCGACCCUCGAGCCUCAAAAUGAGACCAGUUUCUUGGCCAACCACAAUAUUUUUUUUGAUAUGGCUGUGCAAUGACGUUGUGUCAAAAAGAAACCACACGCUCAAGCCCCGGGUCGUGCUUCCGGAGAACUAUGUCAAAGAAGUGCGACCUCCUGCUCGAAAAGGCCAUCCUGUGAUAGUAGAAUUCAGCAUAUAUGUAGUGGACGUCAACUCUAUCAACGUCGAAGACAUGGAUUUUAGAGUGGACAUGUUCAUAAGACAGACAUGGAUGGAGAGCCGACUGCAACUGCCAGAAGAUAUUUUCGAAGAGGGCGACGAUCACGUGACCCUCCCGCCGGAGUUCUUCGACAACCUUUGGCAUCCUGACCCGUAUUUCCUCAAUUCCAAAGUCACAGGAGGAGCUAUAUACUACCGUCAUCAGUCGGCUGAAAUAGCGGAGUUAACGCACAAGUUCUCGUCUGUCACUCUAUAUCGGAAUCAAACAGUGCGCUACGCGGCACGGAUGCAUGCCAUCAUCGCCUGCCAAAUGGAAUUUCAACUCUACCCCAUGGACAUACAGUCCUGUCCGAUUUACAUCGAAAGCUUUUCGUACAGUAAUCAAAAGGUGAGAUUCCGGUGGAGCGAGGCUGGAGUCACCAUAAACCCAGAGUUGAAGCUGCUGCAGUACCAUAUCGGAGAGCCUCUGAGGCUUGAGGAGACGAAUGGAUACAUGAUUGAUAAGGACGGCAACUACUCAAGACUAGUAGUAUACUUCAGAUUCGAGCGACAGAUCGGUCACCAUCUGAUCCAGACGUUUGCUCCAUCAUCCCUAGUGGUCAUGCUGUCGUGGUUCAGUUUCUGGCUGGACUUGGACGCCAUUCCUGGCCGAGUGACCUUGCUAGUUACAUGCAUGUUGACUCUGGUUACCAUGUUUACUGGCCUCCGAGCUGAUAUACCGCCUGUGGCUUAUGUGAAGGCCCUGGACUUAUGGAUGGCCGGUUGCAUGAUGUUCGUAUUUGCCGCGCUGGGAGAGUUCGUCGUGGUCAAGGUGUUGGACAAACAGUAUCAGAUGAACAAAAAUAAAGCGCAAGAAUCGAUGCCUAGAAUCAUACCCGUGCGUCUGAACGGCGACAAGGGCUCGUGUGGCACUGUGGCAGCCUGGGAGGGCAGCGGCGUCAGGUGCCGCAAGGUGGACGUCAUGUCGCCUACUUCCCCAGCGGCGGGGACACCGGCGGUGCACCCCGCGCCCGCUGCGACCCCCCACCUCAUAGGGGUUGAGCGCCGUCAGAGCAUUCUUCAAGUAGCUUGGCUGGACGCGGACACGGGCCAGGAGCGUGUACUGUGGCGGGAGAUCGACAAGCUCUCGCGGGUUGUGUUCCCCGCUCUGUUCCUUCUCUUCGUAACGAUGUACUGGCCGGUCCUUCUACUGAAGACCAAGACGUCUUCAUAACACAUAUUUUGAGCAUCGCAUUAAGUCGCCUUAAAUUCGACGACCUUAAAUUCCGACAUAUCAGCUGAGGUGCAGCUGUGGUCACGGAAAGAACGUCCCAGCAAAUUUCAACGAAGAUAUAAACAGAGAUAUAUAUAACUUCGUAUAAGAUAAAUAAAGUCUAAGAAAAAAACGUGCCUCGGAUGUGGAGAAAAAGUCAUUCUCGAAUAGAUGGCGCCAUUAUAAUUUAUACCUUUGGCCUAUUGUCGGCUAGAUGGCGUUGACGACACCGUUUGAUAUUCAACAAUUUUAACACAUAUCAGUGAAAGAACAUGGGUCAGUAUGGAACAAUAAAAAAUAUAAAUAAUUUAUCCGUAAACAUAUUUUGAUUAAUUUAUACAUUUUCAAUUUUAUUUUAAGUUUUAAUCGUGUGUCGAUAGAUGGCAGUAAAUGUACCGUGACUACAAAAUUGACAAUGACAGGACCCCUCUAUACUAUCUAUUCUUUUUGAUAUAAAUAAAACAACACUGGACUACCCGAAAUUAGUUUAUAGAAAUGUUCGGGGUAGACAAAGAAAAUGCAAUUGCGGUAGACCCGUAUGUGUUAUUGAAUACGUGUCCGAAACGGGAGAGUUUAGUGUUAUUUUUUCCAUGUUAAUGACAUGGAAAUCUUGAGGACGGAGAGGAAUAGAGGACUUUCGCUCCACAAGAUCGUUAGUACCUACGCUGAAAAAUUCUGCUCAUCGUAGGUGUUGUUGCCUGGAGUAACAGCUCCUUUUUUGAACUUUGUAGCACCGACAGCUCUGCUUUUGUCAAACAACAGUUGGCAUUAGUGCGUAUAAGGUCAUAACAAUCGUUGGCUAUCGCUUUGUAACUCCGUAACGGUCAGAUUGUUCAAUUAUUUGUGUCGUUUUAUUGUUUUAUCGGCCACUACAGAGUGUGUCUCAAAAAGAUAUCUUAUCACGAGAUAUACAUACAGUCUGUAUCCUAACUCCUUCUCCAAUAUUACUGCAAAAUUUCAUGAAUAAAGAAUAUUCAAGAUAUGAAAACAGAAACUUGAAUUACACGGCGUACUAUUAGGUUGUUGUUGAUUGUAAAUAAGAGUUAACCGGCAGAAAACUCAUUAGAAAUGAUAUUUUGUGAGCAACAUGUAGGUAGAUAUAAAAAUACGAGUAAAUAAAACAAGUCGCUUUUAGACCAAGUGCGCGUGAUAUACAGCCGUAGGCUAUUUAUUGUUUAGGUAUUGAUGUCGGCGCGGCGGCCGAUCGUAAGUUCAGGAAGAUCGUAAUGUUCUUAAGUAAUGUUUUGACUGUGGUCACAUUAAACCAAUAGAUAGGUAGGAUAAGUUCGUUAGGUUGCUUCAGAUGCCAAAUUGUUUAGAAAUGGGAGCCCCGCAAAGCGGGGCUCCGUCGACCCAGGGAAUGAGACAAAGAUUUUCACAUUUCACGAUAUGCCUAGAAAUUUCACGAUCUGUCUGAUCUUACGAUCGGCCGCUGACAUUGGUAGGUAAUGGAGAUUGCCGGGAUUUGAGACUUUAUUUAAUCCAUUUGGAUUUGUUGCCGCAUUUGAUCAUCAGUGUUCAACGUCAUGUAAGACUUUAUUAAACUAAAAACUGAAAAACAACGUAAACUGCAAAUAAACGAUAUCUUAUCUUAUCUUAAAAAUAAUAAUUCAAAAGUGCCUUCAAAAUUGUGCUUAUGUCACUGGCUAUUCCUCCCUUACUGGGCACUAAAAUAAAAGGGAACAAAAUUUAUUUGAAUAAUACUAACCUAUGAGUCAUUUUAUCAAUACAAAUCUGUGGCCCUAGUGAAAAAGGGUACAAGUCUCGAACAGAUUAGGUGUAAAAGGGCAUAAGUGUUACGUGGAACUUACACCCUUUUGCUCCUGCGCUACCUGAGACUUGUACCCUUAUUCACUAGGGCCACAGAAUUAUGUAUAAUAUCAAUCGAAUUCCUCCCGGUAAUCUACUUUUAAAUCUUAGUUAUAAUGUUAAACUAAAAAAACUGUACAAAUUAUAAUAAGGCGCACAUUUUUAAAAUGUAAAUAUUCUUAAGCUACAUGCGAUUCGAGCACAGAUUUAAUAUUUUAACUGAAAGUUAUAUAAUAUUAUUAAAAAUAAUUAUGAACACCAAGUAUGACUAUUUAAUGAAAUUCCUUGGAAUAAAUUCUUGUCUGAUUUACUUAAUAUUAUAAAGAAUUAAACCUACCGUAAAAUACGAUAACAUUGCCCUUUCAACAUAACUUUGCCCACUGCGUCACAGUUCAAAGCGAAAUAACUUAAAACUACUACUAAAGACAUUUCGCUCGUACUGAACUGUGACGCGGUGGGCAAAGUUAUCUUGAAAGGGCAAUGUUAUGGUAUUUGACGGAAUGUAUUAUUUUAUGUCCACGUGAAAGAUAUUACCUGUGUUUACAUUUUCACCUUAUUGCAAAGCAGUAAGGUGCAAAACUGGAAUCGUAAUCUUUUUGACCUACUUAUAUAUAAAUAUAUUUAUAGUUUAUUCUGUGUCAACUGCAUAUUAUAAAGGCAUACAUAUAUGUAUAUAUUUUUACAUCUCGUUUUUAUUAAUAUCUAUAUACAGGGUGGAACAUUUCUAGAGACUGAGCUAGAAGGAUAAUGUUAUUCAAGUGAUCUACAAUCCAGUUAUUAUUAUCGUAAAGCUGGAUAUAAAAGUAAAACAAAAUCAUUAUAAAGUAAUGUUUUUAUAUCAGUGACAACACUACAAAGUUAUUUACAUUUUAAAUUGACACCUGUCGUGUUAUUCAGUAGGAUCUACCUGCUACAAUGAAACAUACAGGUUUCGCUACUAAUGUUUAACUGUAUCUCUAAAACGGUUAGAAAUAUUAACGUGAUUCAUCAUCAUCAUCAUCAUCAUUUCAGCCUAUAUACGUCCCACUGCUGAGCACAGGCCGCCUCUCAUGCGCGAGAGGGCUUGGGCUAUAGUCCCCACGCUAGCCCAAUGCGGAUUGGGAACUUCACAUACACCGUGACCAUACACGUGAUUAGUAAGUGAAAAAUAAAGUACGUAGCCUAAACAACAAUUCCCAGUUUGCGUAAAAGUCCUUCGUUCUGUUCCACCUGAUAUAUGUAUACCUGUAUUAAUAAAUAGAUAACGUUAAAAAUUAAACAGACUAUUGUUUUAAGAGUUGUACAGUAAAAUGCAAUAAUAUGUUACUUCGAAUGCCGCAAACAUAUCGCUCCUUGAAAAACAUAGUAUCACUUAACUAUACAAAAGAAUAAAAACCAUUCGAAUAGUGACGUUGUUCCAUUAUUAAAACGAUGAAUUUUUAGGCACAAAUCAUUUUGUAUAGUGACAGUAUCGUAUUUGUUUGAAGAAACGUCACAUUUGACACUGACAUAUCUAAUCCAUAUCGUUUCUAGAUCUAUUAGUUGACGUAUCUUAAAGUUAGAAUCAGGCCGUAUGUUUCUCAAGUAAAUGCGACACGCUCAAAUGGCUCUACAAAUAAGGUCGUGUAAGAUAUUGUUGCGGUCUUCGAUGUGUAACAAUUUAUUGCAGGUAACUGUACAUAAGCACAGCUUUAAGCUUUAAGAAUUGUGAUAGUUAUUUAAGGACAAUAUUAUAUAUUGUACAUUAUUUUGUACUAUUAAAAUAUGUAUUUAUUAAAUAGGCAUUUAAAUUUAAAAUCACUGAAAAAAGAGCUCCCCUGUAACUCAAUGGAGGGCGUGCGCAUAUUAAUUACAUUAAAAUAUAUUAAGACGAAACAGGAGCUGAGUUUUAAAUAUUUUAGGUAAAUAUACCCGUCUCGCCAACGGAAGCGGCUCCUAAAACUAGUGCGAUAAGGACAAGGCGAAAAAUCCCGCGUAUUAAUCUCAAAAAUCGAGGUUUCGUACUCGACUGUUUCCUCCUCCAAAACUUAACCAAUCCUAACCAAACUUGAAAAUCUAAAUGACUAUGAAAUUACGUGUGUCGGACCGUUUUGCUUUUUUGGCUAAUUGAUAUCAGUUUUGAAUACUACGCCUCUCAUUGCGGCAUAGUCAAUUAGACCAUUUUCGCCAUUUUUGAAGGGCUCUAGCGCCUUAAAAAACAAAAAUAUCAAAAAAAGCAAAACGGUCCGACACAGAUAUUGAUAAUAAUAAUCUGUGUUCAAAAGAUCAUUGCUUUAGCAUCAAAACCCACGGAGGAAACAGUCGAGUACGUUUGUAUGGAGAAAUGACCACUCCUGUUGGCUCUUAAUAAUGUUUUUAGAUCGGAAAACGUGAAGUCUAAGUUGACAACGUGUAGCGAAACAUGUCGAACAAUUAUCGACUUAAAAAACGUGAUGGACUCGUUUAUGAUUAUAUUCUAUGAGCCACUCGACACUAGCGUCUUGCGAACGUCGGCAUCUAUAGUAGACCCAAACCAAACGGACGACCGGGGUCAUAUCUCUAUCUCUCUCACCCUACCUUGGACCACGCGAGCGUGAAUGAGAAGUUUUACGAUCCCAGUCGUCAGUUUGGUUUGCAUCUACUAUAGUCAACAGUAUGGCUGCUGCUUGACGGAACGUUGGCGCAACCAGUACGGUUACCAUCAGUUUGUCACUGACAUAAACGCCGUCGAGAACGUAAUUUACUUUCUAUACAUCUCGCUCGCACUCGCAUAUUAGUGCAAAUGGGAUGUUUAGAAAGUAAAUUACGUUCUCGACGGCGUUUAUGUCAGUGACAAACUGAUGGUAACCGUACAGGCGUGGCUCACUCCGCGAUUUCGUCGCUUUGCUACAGGUAGCUAAAAGUAUUAUAUUUAUAUUUCAAGUCCGUUCGGCCCCAAUUUUGGGGUUUGCCAUAAGCCGCUCGUGGCGCUGUCGCCACCUAGCGGCCAUAUCUGUGCUGAUCGUAACAGACGCGUUUUGUUAGAGAGUAGGUCUUCUGUACCUAGUACUAUUAUUUAUUCUGUGGCGCAACUAAGAAGCGACGCCAUUUCCCAUACCGUUGACUAGACGGAGUAGACGGCGACGCUCAAAAGGCGCUAGUGUGCCGUGGCCCUGAAUGUACGGGUCUCUAGAAAUUUUGCUAUUAAAAUUAAAUUUCGUGCGCAAACUGUAUAAUGUAAGCAAGUUUCUUACAUAUUAAUGUUAGACUAGCCUCUCGACUCCAUGUCGUUAAAACUACACUUUAUGUUCAUCCCCUUAGGGGAAGAACAUUCAAAGAUACUUUCUUAGUGGAGUGCUUUGAAUUAUAAUAUUUAUUUUAACUACAAGGUACUAGGUACCUUCAAUGGUUUAUGCGGUUAUCACACUGAUGCCAAUUUGAACGUAACUCCGGUGUAUGAAAGUGACAGCGCUCUGUAUAUAGCGAUGUCCCUCUCGCACACCGGAGUAACGUGUGAAUGCGUAUCCAGUGUGAAGAUUCGAGCCACCUUAAGCUGUGCGUUAACAGUCCGUAUAACGCGACUGUUUUGUAUAAGAUAUAUUAUUAAGAUUAAUAAUUCUGCUCCUAACAUUGGCGACAUACUAAGUCCUAAAAGAUAUAAAAGUGGGUUUAUAUAUGAAUUUGCUUUAACUUACAGCCGUAUUCGAACAAUGAGAUACGUCAAAUACUAGAUAUUGAAACGAUAUGGAUUAGAUAUGUCAGUGUCAAACCAAUGUCAAAAGUGACGUAUUUGUUUGAAGAAACGUCAAUUUUGACACUUGUUUGACACUGACAUGUCUAAUCCAUAUCUUUUCUAGAUCUAUUAACUUACGUAUCUUAAAGUUGGAAUCGCGCCGUUAAGGGGCCCACUGAUUACCUAUCCGCCGGACAGUAUCGACCUGUCAGUUGUUCGGAACUAUCAAAAUUUUGUUCUAACUGACAGGCCGAUACCGCCCGGCGGACUGUUAAUCAGUGGGCCCCUUUAGUAUUUUAUGUAUAAUAGUAAACAGAUCGUUAUUGUUAAUAACUAUGCUUCUAAAUACGAGUUGGAAUGUUUCUGUUACGAGUUUGUAAUGAGCUAUUUCUCAAAGAACUAAGUGAACGAUUGUUAAAUGUGAUAAUAAAUAAGUUUUGAAGAACAUCUUUCACUGUUUUUGGUCCUUUCGCAUCGUUUUGCAGCUCUGCUCCGCUUGAAAUUGUGCUAGUUCCAAGGAAUAAAAGAGUCUUGAAUGACUACGUUACUUAAUAAUUCUUUAAACGAGCUAAAAGGGAACAUUAUGCAUCCAGCGAGGCAGAGACAUAUCGUGAUAUUAAGCUUCCUAUCAAAGGCAAACCUAUAAAGCAUAGGGCUUUAUUAUAUACCUAAGGGGUGGAGAUGCUGUCUGUCAAUAUACUGCUUGCCCUGCCAACUCUUAAAAAAAAUCAUUUUUUAUUUUAUUUUAUAGCCUGGAUUCCAACAAUUUAAGCCAAAUGUCAUAGAACAAAACUAGAGAAAGGGGCAAGUUAUGAUGGCGCCAUCUAUGCAAACCUUUGUCAGUUGCCAACCCCAAGAGACUUAUCCUCAAAUUCUCAUAGUACUCCAUAUAGUAAUAAAUAUUUCAAUCUCGGCUAAGAGUGAAUUGUCAUUCGAAAAUGAUAUUUACCGUACCUAUAGAUGUGUAUUUAAGGUGGAUGUCUAGGGCUGUCCUGCCGACAAGCCACCAAAAGAUGGCGUGAUUGUGCACAAAUUGCGGAUUAUCACUAUUUCUUUCAAAACUCAAACUAUUUUCUAAGAUGUGUUAAUAUUGGCGCAAACAAUAAAAAAUAUUACGUCUAAAUCGAAAUAUAUU
Molecule: RNA transcript, 8479 nt
Organism: Cydia fagiglandana
Lineage: Eukaryota; Metazoa; Arthropoda; Insecta; Lepidoptera; Tortricidae
Gene: alka
Gene name: glycine receptor subunit alpha-1
Exons: 13
Source: RefSeq, a predicted model, not a curated record